RNAcentral lists this ribosomal RNA (402 nucleotides) under uncultured Sphingomonas sp. Its description in RNAcentral is "bacterial SSU rRNA". It matches the Rfam family "Bacterial small subunit ribosomal RNA", at positions 355 to 774 of the family's 1533-position model. The record is from RNAcentral. Lineage: Bacteria; Pseudomonadati; Pseudomonadota; Alphaproteobacteria; Sphingomonadales; Sphingomonadaceae.
UGGGGAAUAUUGGACAAUGGGCGAAAGCCUGAUCCAGCAAUGCCGCGUGAGUGAUGAAGGCCUUAGGGUUGUAAAGCUCUUUUACCCGGGAUGAUAAUGACAGUACCGGGAGAAUAAGCCCCGGCUAACUCCGUGCCAGCAGCCGCGGUAAUACGGAGGGGGCUAGCGUUGUUCGGAAUUACUGGGCGUAAAGCGCACGUAGGCGGCUUUGCAAGUCAGAGGUGAAAGCCCGGGGCUCAACCCCGGAAUUGCCUUUGAGACUGCAUCGCUAGAACGUCGGAGAGGUGAGUGGAAUUCCGAGUGUAGAGGUGAAAUUCGUAGAUAUUCGGAAGAACACCAGUGGCGAAGGCGACUCACUGGACGACUGUUGACGCUGAGGUGCGAAAGCGUGGGGAGCAAACA